GGGCCCGUAGCUCAGCCUGGUAGAGCGGCGGGCUCUUAACCCGUAGGUCCCGGGUUCGAAUCCCGGCGGGCCCGCCA
This 77-nucleotide transfer RNA is filed under the name Hyperthermus butylicus DSM 5456. Its description in RNAcentral is "tRNA-Lys (CTT) (tRNA-Lys-CTT-1-1)". It matches the Rfam family "tRNA". Rfam says of the family: Transfer RNA (tRNA) molecules are approximately 80 nucleotides in length. Their secondary structure includes four short double-helical elements and three loops (D, anti-codon, and T loops). RNAcentral also lists the same sequence under 4 other names. Lineage: Archaea; Thermoproteati; Thermoproteota; Thermoprotei; Desulfurococcales; Pyrodictiaceae. The record is from RNAcentral.